RNAcentral lists this long non-coding RNA (403 nucleotides) under Olea europaea (common olive). RNAcentral describes it as "long non-coding RNA (OEUR_LNC013243)". Lineage: Eukaryota; Viridiplantae; Streptophyta; Magnoliopsida; Lamiales; Oleaceae. The record is from RNAcentral.
UCGACGCAGAUAGCUCCGGUGGCCCCCGCUUCUGCCUCUAUCAGGCGGCGACAGAACCCACCUCCACAGCAUGGAGGAGCUGCUCCUUAAUCCGCACUACAACCAAUAAAAAUUUCCUCAUAAAACAGAAUGAAAAGCCCGGGUGGAAGCACAAAAGGAGAAAGGGGGGAAGAAGUCUAGUGCUAGUUCUUACUGACACUUCUUUAUCUAACUUUCAUUUUUGAGUGGUUUCUUUGUUCUCUUAUUUAUUUGGAUUGAAUGAAAGAAAGAAAAAACUUCCCUUUCUUUCUCUUCUUUUUAUCCCUUCGACGAAUUGCGUUUUGCCAGAGAGAUUUUUUUAGUUAGAAAGAUUCUCCAUUGGUAAUUCAAAAUAAAGAAAUAAAGAAUCUAAAUAAAGGCGCAU